This 2928-nucleotide ribosomal RNA is filed under the name Klebsiella pneumoniae. RNAcentral describes it as "23S ribosomal RNA". It matches the Rfam family "Bacterial large subunit ribosomal RNA". The record is from RNAcentral. Lineage: Bacteria; Pseudomonadati; Pseudomonadota; Gammaproteobacteria; Enterobacterales; Enterobacteriaceae.
GGGUUGUGAGGUUAAGCGACUAAGCGUACACGGUGGAUGCCCUGGCAGUCAGAGGCGAUGAAGGACGUGCUAAUCUGCGAAAAGCGUCGGUAAGGUGAUAUGAACCGUUAUAACCGGCGAUGUCCGAAUGGGGAAACCCAGUGUGAUUCGUCACACUAUCGUUAACUGAAUACAUAGGUUAACGAGGCGAACCGGGGGAACUGAAACAUCUAAGUACCCCGAGGAAAAGAAAUCAACCGAGAUUCCCCCAGUAGCGGCGAGCGAACGGGGAGCAGCCCAGAGUCUGAAUCAGCUUGUGUGUUAGUGGAACGGUCUGGAAAGUCCGACGGUACAGGGUGAUAGUCCCGUACACCAAAAUGCACAGGCUGUGAACUCGAAGAGUAGGGCGGGACACGUGGUAUCCUGUCUGAAUAUGGGGGGACCAUCCUCCAAGGCUAAAUACUCCUGACUGACCGAUAGUGAACCAGUACCGUGAGGGAAAGGCGAAAAGAACCCCGGCGAGGGGAGUGAAAAAGAACCUGAAACCGUGUACGUACAAGCAGUGGGAGCACCUUCGGGUGUGACUGCGUACCUUUUGUAUAAUGGGUCAGCGACUUAUAUUCUGUAGCAAGGUUAACCGUAUAGGGGAGCCGCAGGGAAACCGAGUCUUAACUGGGCGUUAAGUUGCAGGGUAUAGACCCGAAACCCGGUGAUCUAGCCAUGGGCAGGUUGAAGGUUGGGUAACACUAACUGGAGGACCGAACCGACUAAUGUUGAAAAAUUAGCGGAUGACUUGUGGCUGGGGGUGAAAGGCCAAUCAAACCGGGAGAUAGCUGGUUCUCCCCGAAAGCUAUUUAGGUAGCGCCUCGUGAACUCAUCUUCGGGGGUAGAGCACUGUUUCGGCUAGGGGGUCAUCCCGACUUACCAACCCGAUGCAAACUACGAAUACCGAAGAAUGUUAUCACGGGAGACACACGGCGGGUGCUAACGUCCGUCGUGAAGAGGGAAACAACCCAGACCGCCAGCUAAGGUCCCAAAGUCAUGGUUAAGUGGGAAACGAUGUGGGAAGGCACAGACAGCCAGGAUGUUGGCUUAGAAGCAGCCAUCAUUUAAAGAAAGCGUAAUAGCUCACUGGUCGAGUCGGCCUGCGCGGAAGAUGUAACGGGGCUAAACCAUGCACCGAAGCUGCGGCAGCGACACUAUGUGUUGUUGGGUAGGGGAGCGUUCUGUAAGCCUGCGAAGGUGUGCUGUGAGGCAUGCUGGAGGUAUCAGAAGUGCGAAUGCUGACAUAAGUAACGAUAAAGCGGGUGAAAAGCCCGCUCGCCGGAAGACCAAGGGUUCCUGUCCAACGUUAAUCGGGGCAGGGUGAGUCGACCCCUAAGGCGAGGCCGAAAGGCGUAGUCGAUGGGAAACAGGUUAAUAUUCCUGUACUUGGUGUUACUGCGAAGGGGGGACGGAGAAGGCUAUGUUAGCCGGGCGACGGUUGUCCCGGUUUAAGCAUGUAGGCUGGUUAUCCAGGCAAAUCCGGAUAAUCAAGGCUGAGGUGUGAUGACGAGGCACUACGGUGCUGAAGUAACAAAUGCCCUGCUUCCAGGAAAAGCCUCUAAGCAUCAGGUAACAUCAAAUCGUACCCCAAACCGACACAGGUGGUCAGGUAGAGAAUACCAAGGCGCUUGAGAGAACUCGGGUGAAGGAACUAGGCAAAAUGGUGCCGUAACUUCGGGAGAAGGCACGCUGGUGUGUAGGUGAAGCCCCUGCGGGUGGAGCUGAGACCAGUCGAAGAUACCAGCUGGCUGCAACUGUUUAUUAAAAACACAGCACUGUGCAAACACGAAAGUGGACGUAUACGGUGUGACGCCUGCCCGGUGCCGGAAGGUUAAUUGAUGGGGUUAUCCGUAAGGAGAAGCUCUUGAUCGAAGCCCCGGUAAACGGCGGCCGUAACUAUAACGGUCCUAAGGUAGCGAAAUUCCUUGUCGGGUAAGUUCCGACCUGCACGAAUGGCGUAAUGAUGGCCAGGCUGUCUCCACCCGAGACUCAGUGAAAUUGAACUCGCUGUGAAGAUGCAGUGUACCCGCGGCAAGACGGAAAGACCCCGUGAACCUUUACUAUAGCUUGACACUGAACAUUGAGCCUUGAUGUGUAGGAUAGGUGGGAGGCUUUGAAGCGUGGACGCCAGUCUGCGUGGAGCCAACCUUGAAAUACCACCCUUUAAUGUUUGAUGUUCUAACGUUGGCCCCUUACCGGGGUUGCGGACAGUGUCUGGUGGGUAGUUUGACUGGGGCGGUCUCCUCCCAAAGCGUAACGGAGGAGCACGAAGGUUAGCUAAUCCUGGUCGGACAUCAGGAGGUUAGUGCAAUGGCAUAAGCUAGCUUGACUGCGAGCGUGACGGCGCGAGCAGGUGCGAAAGCAGGUCAUAGUGAUCCGGUGGUUCUGAAUGGAAGGGCCAUCGCUCAACGGAUAAAAGGUACUCCGGGGAUAACAGGCUGAUACCGCCCAAGAGUUCAUAUCGACGGCGGUGUUUGGCACCUCGAUGUCGGCUCAUCACAUCCUGGGGCUGAAGUAGGUCCCAAGGGUAUGGCUGUUCGCCAUUUAAAGUGGUACGCGAGCUGGGUUUAGAACGUCGUGAGACAGUUCGGUCCCUAUCUGCCGUGGGCGCUGGAGAAUUGAGGGGGGCUGCUCCUAGUACGAGAGGACCGGAGUGGACGCAUCACUGGUGUUCGGGUUGUCAUGCCAAUGGCACUGCCCGGUAGCUAAAUGCGGAAGAGAUAAGUGCUGAAAGCAUCUAAGCACGAAACUUGCCCCGAGAUGAGUUCUCCCUGAGACUUUAAGUCUCCUGAAGGAACGUUAAAGACGAUGACGUUGAUAGGCCGGGUGUGUAAGCGCAGCGAUGCGUUGAGCUAACCGGUACUAAUGAACCGUGAGGCUUAACCUUACAACGCCGAAGCUGUU